UGGUGCCAGCAGCCGCGGUAAUUCCAGCUCCAAUAGCGUAUAUUAAAGUUGUUGCAGUUAAAAAGCUCGUAGUUGAAUUUCGGGGUUAGUAGGUUGGUCAUGCCUCUGGUAUGUACUGAUCUCACUGAUUCCUCCCUCUUGACGAACUGUAAUGUCAUUAAUUUGGUGUUGCAGGAAAUCAGGACUGUUACUUUGAAAAAAUUAGAGUGUUUAAAGCAGGCUAAGGCUUGAAUACAUUAGCAUGGAAUAAUGAAAUAGGACGUUUGAUCCUAUUUUGUUGGCUUCUAGGAUUGACGUAAUGAUUAAUAGGGAUAGUUGGGGGCAUUAGUAUUCAAUUGUCAGAGGUGAAAUUCUUGGAUUUAUUGAAGACUAACUACUGCGAAAGCAUUUGCCAAGGAUGUUUUCAUUAAUCAAGAACGAAAGUUAGGGGAUCGAAAACGAUCAGAUACCGUCGUAGUCUUAACCAUAAACUAUGCCGACUAGGGAUCGGAUGAUGUUAAUUUUUUAAUGACUCAUUCGGCG
RNAcentral lists this ribosomal RNA (522 nucleotides) under uncultured Glomus. RNAcentral describes it as "SSU rRNA". It matches the Rfam family "Eukaryotic small subunit ribosomal RNA", at positions 562 to 1085 of the family's 1831-position model. Lineage: Eukaryota; Fungi; Glomeromycota; Glomeromycetes; Glomerales; Glomeraceae. The record is from RNAcentral.